UGGGGAAUAUUGCACAAUGGGCGAAAGCCUGAUGCAGCGACGCCGCGUGCGGGAUGAAGGCCUUCGGGUUGUAAACCGCUUUUGAUUGGGAGCAAGCGAGAGUGAGUGUACCUUUCGAAUAAGCACCGGCUAACUACGUGCCAGCAGCCGCGGUAAUACGUAGGGUGCAAGCGUUAUCCGGAAUUAUUGGGCGUAAAGAGCUCGUAGGCGGUUUGUCGCGUCUGGUGUGAAAGUCCAUCGCUUAACGGUGGAUCUGCGCCGGGUACGGGCAGGCUAGAGUGCGACAGGGGAGACUGGAAUUCCCGGUGUAACGGUGGAAUGUGUAGAUAUCGGGAAGAACACCAAUGGCGAAGGCAGGUCUCUGGGUCGUCACUGACGCUGAGGAGCGAAAGCGU
RNAcentral lists this ribosomal RNA (395 nucleotides) under uncultured bacterium. RNAcentral describes it as "partial 16S ribosomal RNA". It matches the Rfam family "Bacterial small subunit ribosomal RNA", at positions 355 to 762 of the family's 1533-position model. The record is from RNAcentral.